GAUGAACGCUGGCGGCGUGCUUAACACAUUCAAGUCGAACGAAGCACUGAAGAUGAGACCUUCGGGUGGAUUCUUCUUUGACUGAGUGGCGGACGGGUGAGUAACGCGUGAGCAAUCUGCCUUGGUUUUUGGGAUAACGUUUGGAAACGAACGCUAAUACCGAAUAACGUAUCGGAAUCGCAUGUUUCUGAUACCAAAGCUCCGGCGAACCAAGAUGAGCUCGCGUCCGAUUAGAUAGUUGGUGGGGUAACGGCCUACCAAGUCUGCGAUCGGUAGCCGGACUGAGAGGUUGAACGGCCACAUUGGAACUGAGAUACGGUCCAGACUCCUACGGGAGGCAGCAGUGGGGAAUAUUGGGCAAUGGGCGAAAGCCUGACCCAGCGACGCCGCGUGAGGGAAGAAGGUCUUCGGAUUGUAAACCUUAGUCAACAGGGAAGAAGAAAGUGACGGUACCUGUGGAGGAAGCCACGGCUAACUACGUG
Molecule: ribosomal RNA, 482 nt
Filed under: uncultured bacterium
Lineage: Bacteria
Description: bacterial SSU rRNA
Rfam family: Bacterial small subunit ribosomal RNA
Source: RNAcentral